Molecule: ribosomal RNA, 77 nt
Filed under: Providencia alcalifaciens
Lineage: Bacteria; Pseudomonadati; Pseudomonadota; Gammaproteobacteria; Enterobacterales; Morganellaceae
Description: partial 23S ribosomal RNA
Source: RNAcentral
UAAGCGUAGCGAUACGUUGAGCUAACCAAUACUAAUGAACCGUGAGGCUUAACCUGACAACACUGAAGGUGUUUUAG